AAAUGCGAUAAGUAAUGUGAAUUGCAGAAUUCAGUGAAUCAUCGAAUCUUUGAACGCACCUUGCGCUCCUUGGUAUUCCUUGGAGCAUGCCUGUUUGAGUAUCAUGAAAUCUUCAAAGUAAAUCUUUUGUUAACUCAAUUGGUUUCUACUUUGGUAUUGGAGGUCUUUGCAGCUUCACACCUGCUCCUCUUUGUUCAUUAGCUGGAUCUCAGUGUUAUGCUUGGUUCCACUCGGCGUGAUAAGUUAUCUAUCGCCGAGGACACUGUAAAAGGUGGCCAAGGUAAAUGCAGAUGAACCGCUUCUAAUAGUCCAUUGACUUGGACAAUACUUUUAUGAUCUGAUCUCAAAUCAGGUAGGACUACCCGCUGAACUUAAGC
RNAcentral lists this unclassified non-coding RNA (377 nucleotides) under plant metagenome. Its description in RNAcentral is "partial contains 5.8S ribosomal RNA, internal transcribed spacer 2, and large subunit ribosomal RNA". The stretch from base 1 to 104 matches the Rfam family "5.8S ribosomal RNA", at positions 51 to 154 of the family's 154-position model. The record is from RNAcentral.